This 30-nucleotide non-coding RNA is filed under the name Rattus norvegicus (Norway rat). The record is from RNAcentral. Lineage: Eukaryota; Metazoa; Chordata; Mammalia; Rodentia; Muridae.
UCCCAGUGCCGACAGAUAUGUGAUACUUGG